RNAcentral lists this transfer RNA (71 nucleotides) under Nanophyes marmoratus. RNAcentral describes it as "tRNA-Lys". It matches the Rfam family "tRNA". Rfam says of the family: Transfer RNA (tRNA) molecules are approximately 80 nucleotides in length. Their secondary structure includes four short double-helical elements and three loops (D, anti-codon, and T loops). Further hydrogen bonds mediate the characteristic L-shaped molecular structure. tRNAs have two regions of fundamental functional importance: the anti-codon, which is responsible for specific mRNA codon recognition, and the 3' end, to which the tRNAs corresponding amino acid is attached (by aminoacyl-tRNA synthetases). tRNAs cope with the degeneracy of the genetic code in two manners: having more than one tRNA (with a specific anti-codon) for a particular amino acid; and 'wobble' base-pairing, i.e. permitting non-standard base-pairing at the 3rd anti-codon position. The record is from RNAcentral. Lineage: Eukaryota; Metazoa; Arthropoda; Insecta; Coleoptera; Brentidae.
CAUUAGAUGGCUGAAAGCAAGCAAUGGUCUCUUAAACCAAUAUAUAAUAGAUUAGCAUCUAUUUCUAAUGA